This 722-nucleotide ribosomal RNA is filed under the name Glomus multicaule. Its description in RNAcentral is "SSU rRNA". It matches the Rfam family "Eukaryotic small subunit ribosomal RNA", at positions 372 to 1097 of the family's 1831-position model. The record is from RNAcentral. Lineage: Eukaryota; Fungi; Glomeromycota; Glomeromycetes; Glomerales; Glomeraceae.
AGGGCACGACACCGGAGAGGGAGCCUGAGAAACGGCUACCACAUCCAAGGAUGGCAGCAGGCGCGCAAAUUACCCAAUCCCGACACGGGGAGGUAGUGACAAUAAAUAACAAUACGGGGUCCUUUGGGUCUCGUAAUUGGAAUGAGUACAAUUUAAAUCUCUUAACGAGGAACAAUUGGAGGGCAAGUCUGGUGCCAGCAGCCGCGGUAAUUCCAGCUCCAAUAGCGUAUAUUAAAGUUGUUGCAGUUAAAAAGCUCGUAGUUGAAUUUCGGGGUCAGUAGGUCGGUCGUGCCAACGGUAUGAACUGGCCUCACUGAUUCCUCCCUCUUGCAGAACCGUGAUGCCAUUAACUUGGUGUGGCGGGGAAACAGGACUGUUACUUUGAAAAAAUUAGAGUGUUUAAAGCAGGCUAACGCUUGAAUACAUUAGCAUGGAAUAAUGAAAUAGGACGUCGAUCUUAUUUUGUUGGUUUCUAGGGUUGACGUAAUGAUUAAUAGGGAUAGUUGGGGGCAUUAGUAUUCAAUUGUCAGAGGUGAAAUUCUUGGAUUUAUUGAAGACUAACUACUGCGAAAGCAUUUGCCAAGGAUGUUUUCAUUAAUCAAGAACGAAAGUUAGGGGAUCGAAGACGAUCAGAUACCGUCGUAGUCUUAACCAUAAACUAUGCCGACUANGGAUCGGAUGAUGUUAAUUUUUUAAUGACUCAUUCGGCGCCUUACGGGAAA